UGCUUAUGGAGAUAAUAAAAC
Molecule: non-coding RNA, 21 nt
Filed under: Caenorhabditis elegans
Lineage: Eukaryota; Metazoa; Nematoda; Chromadorea; Rhabditida; Rhabditidae
Source: RNAcentral